UUGGUUUUUGGUUUUCGGUGAUGACGGGAAACUGAAACGUAAUUGGGUUGAGAAGCAAUAUAAGGAUUUCCAUGAAGUCAGAAUUGAGAAGGGUGGAGAGCGGUGGACGAUGAAGGUAAACAGAGAAGGAAACAGAAAGAGAGUAGAGAAUGUUCAGUUGCUUGGUCCAACAACGCAGCAGGAAGAAGGAGUUUAAAAUAAAGAAUUUAUAAGGACUCCAGUUACCCGAGGAACGGAAGGUUCGUGACUCUCGGAGUACGUGAAGAAAAGCAUCGGAAUCCAGGUGGGGGAUUCGGGACUCUCCUCGAUUAGUGGGUUUAUUAUAUUACGAUUUUUAUUAAAUGAUGCAUGUUAAGUCUAUGUGGUUUGGUUAUGUUAAAAUGCAAUGCAUACUAACCAAA
Rosa rugosa (rugosa rose) is the source of this 401-nucleotide long non-coding RNA. RefSeq lists it as uncharacterized. NCBI's taxonomy places the organism in Eukaryota, Viridiplantae, Streptophyta, Magnoliopsida, Rosales, Rosaceae. The transcript is spliced from 3 exons. The record is from RefSeq and is a predicted model, not a curated record.